UGGGGAAUUUUGGACAAUGGGCGAAAGCCUGAUCCAGCAAUGCCGCGUGUGUGAAGAAGGCCUUCGGGUUGUAAGCACUUUUGUCCGGAAAGAAAUCCUUGGCUCUAAUACAGUCGGGGGAUACGGUACCGGAAGAAUAAGCACCGGCUAACUACGUGCCAGCAGCCGCGGUAAUACGUAGGGUGCAAGCGUUAAUCGGAAUUACUGGGCGUAAGCGUGCGCAGGCGGUUUGCUAAGACCGAUGUGAAAUCCCGGGCUCAACCUGGGAACUGCAUUGGUGACUGGCAGGCUAGAGUAUGGCAGAGGGGGGUAGAAUUCCACGUGUGAGCAGUGAAAUGCGUAGAGAUGUGGAGGAAUACCGAUGGCGAAGGCAGCCCCCUGGGCCAAUACUGACGCUCAUGCACGAAAGCGUGGGGAGCAAACAGGAUUAGAUACCCUGGUAGUCCACGCCCUAAACGAUGUC
This 463-nucleotide ribosomal RNA is filed under the name uncultured bacterium. RNAcentral describes it as "partial 16S ribosomal RNA". It matches the Rfam family "Bacterial small subunit ribosomal RNA", at positions 355 to 813 of the family's 1533-position model. The record is from RNAcentral.